Molecule: long non-coding RNA, 3428 nt
Filed under: Homo sapiens (human)
Lineage: Eukaryota; Metazoa; Chordata; Mammalia; Primates; Hominidae
Description: HSALNT0368504
Source: RNAcentral
AGAAACAGGAAGAGAAGCAGGAGUCACACCAGUAAUUCAAGAGGCUCUUUGAUGCUGUUGCCCUCCCUAAGAUUAAGGUAAGGGGAAAAACAGGAUCAAGUCUACUUUCAUGGGGCUAAAAUAUAUGUAUAAUGAAUCUGUUUCAGGAGUCAGAAAGGCUUUCUUGGGCACCAAGGAUUUUGAAUUCUAGCUCAGGGGUGAGGGGACUAGAGUAAGAUUUAGGAAGUUUAACAGUUCCUCUCUCAGCCCCAGAAACCCCAGUGAGGGAAUCUCAAAAGUCUGGGACUCCCAAGAAAUCCCAGACUGUCAAAGCCAAGAAUUAAGGCUGCUCUUAGGUCUCUGAGAAAUUUUCUUGCUCAAAGUCAUCAUAGAUUGGCUGAACCCCCAGAGGGCAAAGCCAAAUCAUGAGGUUCACAUUAGAGGAACUGGGAGGUAGGUAAAGGCUGAAAAGCAGGAGGGAGAGAAAGGAACUGGGAAACAGGCCACAAGCUAAAGGUGUUUCAUAUGUUAAAGGAGGCUAGCCUCCACUCCUGCUGCCUUUCCUUGAGACCUUUAAAUAGUGGCUACAUCUAGGGAAUAGCCAUGAGCUUGGAGAACAUGGAGAACCUCCACACUUCUCUGCAAGGCACCUCAUCAUAACUGCUUUCCCUUUCUUGACCACGGGCUCCAGGGUGGCAGGAUCCUAGCCUGCUAGCAGGGAAUAGUGGGUACAAGAGCAAAGAAAGACGCCCAUCCUCAGCUCUUUUGUGGGGAGGAAGCUGAGGCCCCUCAGAUCUCUGUUCCAGGCUGAGGCAUCUGCUUGCCAAGGCUCCUCUUCCUUACCUUGAUUUUCUCCACUACCCCUUCCCACCCAGGCCUGUCUCGGCAUUUCACCCCAGGCAGCUCUACCUCUAUCCCCAAGGCCUAAUCAAGAUGUCACCAUAGGCUCCCACUGUCCAAGUCGCCGUCUUUGCUUAGCAACACCAAACACCCUUUCCCAUCCUCCGCAAGUAUAAGGAGGAACGCCCCCUCCCCCGCUACACACACACACACACACACACACACACACACACACACACACAGCCCCCAUCCUCUCCAUCUCCUCAGGCUUGGGAGUAGUUACUGAAUUGGCUCCCUAGCCCCAGCACCCCCCUUCCUCCCUCCACUAGCCGCCUUCUGCCUGAACUUACAUUAUCCUUCCCUUGCCGGUGAGACCCUGGGGUGCGAACGCGGCCGCCGCCUUGGAAACGGCGAGGGAGUGCGGGUGGUGUAUGCAUGUCUGCGUCUCAGUGGCAGGCAGGGGUGAGCCCAGCCACUCACCUUCCAGGAAGCGUGGAUUCCUGGAAGUGAGGGGAACCGCCGUCAUUUCGCAGGCAGCAGCAGCGGCACGGUGAGCAGAGGCCCACGGCUGCAGCCAGCAAGAGCAGCUCAGCCCAGGGUGUAUGUGUGUUGAGUGUGUGUGUGUGUGUGUGUGUGAGAGAGAGAGAGAGAGAGAGGGAGAGAAGGAGAGGGGAGAGCACGCUUGGAUGUGCUUGGGGAGGGGGCUGGAGAGAAUGUAUAUGUGUAUAUAGUGGGGGAGAUGCUAGGCUACAGCAUCCCUUUUCCAAGACAGUGAAGGGGGUGGGUGGUGGGUGUGUGCACAGGGAGGGAAAGGCAGAUGCUGUUGCCCCUCGUGCCCAGCAGACAAAGAGGAACUGCACAACAAAUGCCUGAGAGAGGCAAGAGUGUGUGCAAGAGAGAGAGAGAGAGAUGGAUGGGCCUGCGGGUGGGAGGGAGAAAGGGGGGGCCCUAGGGAAGGCCCAAUCCUCUGCCAGCUGGGGAAGCCAAGGCCCCAGAGGUCAUGGGGCCCAGGACACGGACAGCUUCAAGGCUCUCAGAGAGGCAGAAAGCCCCUCCCCCACCGAACUCUUUCCCUCCUCCUCCAGGAGGAAGGUUGCUCUCUAGAUGUGGGGACUGACAGCCUCCUCCUUUCCAGCAGUGAGAGGGCCCAGCAGAGUCUGGUGUCAGGCUAGUGUUGCUCCGUGGCCCUGAGACCUUUCAGAUCCCGGGCAAAAAGGCUGGUACGGUCUCCCCAUUUCCCCCCCUUCCUGUGCCCCUGGGGCCCCAGCAGCCGAAAGCCCUGGAUGAAUCCGCCCUCUAUCAGGACAAGGCCUCUGCUCCCUUCCCUUUCAGAGGAGCUGCUCACUGACAAACUGACCUACUUUGGAAGACUACAUUUUCUGAUUCCAAGAAUUUGGGGGUGGGAGGGGCUGUGAAACUUCGGGCUGCCUACCCCUGAAUCCCUUUCUACUAAAGUUCUCUAAAACAUUUCACAGUCUCAGAAAACUUGGGGCAAGCCCUGCUCAGUCAAUUAAUGGCAGGAGCUGGGUUUCAGCAACUCUGUUUCCCUUGAAAGAUAGGAAAAUGGAGGGGGUGGUUAUCUGUGCCAUAAAUUAAUAGACUCCUGCUUAUCUCCCCCUUUUCCCUGCCCCAGAAGGGAAUGAUCUGUACCUUUAAAAAGAGAAAAGGGGAGAAAAGAUGGAUUUUCUGAAUCACAUUCUGUGAGGAAUUCAAAUCUCUUGGAAGAACAGGAGAGAUACCCUUUUCAUCAAGUGGCCUGAUGAGGGAAGGUCACCUGGCGUGGAGCAGAAGAACUAUGAUGGCCUGUGGAGGCCCGCAGUGUGCUUCGGGAGGGCUGCAUGCUGCAGCCUUUCCCUCUGCUUCCAUAUGACUCUUCCAGGAGAGAUGGGUAGCUGCUGACAUCUAAAAUUCUCAAAGUACAGAGGAGGAGUUCCUGGCCUCCACUUCCAUUCAAAAACCAUCCUGUGCAGAGGCCACUUCUUAUCUAGGACAUGCCAAUCUGCUGAAAGCAGGGAAAACUUGGUUUCAUAGCACGGUGAAGCAAAUCACCUCCAUGAGUAUCCAAUAUUCUCCAUAAACAGGUUUGAAAAGAGCUCCACAGGAUUUGUAGUUUCUCAUUUGCCUGCUUUAUGGUAGGGACUGGAUUUUAUCCAUCUGAGUGUUCCCCAGCACUAAAGCAGGGUCCCAAGUGUACUUGUUGCUCAGUAGUGGUUUUCUGAAUAGGCUUAACUGAGCAGGAGGUAGGAGGACUGGCUCGCUCCUCACAAGGCCAUGACUUUUGUUCUAAUAAAGUCUCUUCCAAUUAAAUGAGUCUACCUGAUCCCUGUCAUUCUGUCAAGCAUGUGGCAGAUAUUGAAUGCCUUUACCCAUUCCAACUCCUUCCCUCCUUAAACAAGAAAGGGGUCAGAGUCAACAUCUUACCUUACAUUACCCGGGUGUUGCCAAUGACUCUCAUAUGUGUGUCUGACCCAUCUUGCUAUCUCCUUUAGUGCAUGCCAAUAAUUCCUUCAUUGGUCCUACUUUAGAGUAAAAAAUAAGCUAUAGGUCAUUUCCAAAAUGGUGCUUGGGUUUCUGAUAGGGAUACUCAUCACAUCAAAACCCAGUUUUGG